AGGUGAACCUGCGGAAGGAUCACCAACAAAAGGGAUUAAAAGCGUGGCGGGCGCAAGUCCGCUUUCGACGCUUAUCCCGAAAUCCUGUAUUCACCCCAAGUUCCUUUUAAAAUUUUACGAAUAAAAACUUGCAAAAAAGACCACCUUCGUUUGGUGGCGCUUAAUGCAUACGUGAAAACUUUCAACAACGGAUCUCUUGGCUCUCG
RNAcentral lists this unclassified non-coding RNA (206 nucleotides) under uncultured fungus. Its description in RNAcentral is "partial contains 18S rRNA, ITS1 and 5.8S rRNA". The record is from RNAcentral. Lineage: Eukaryota; Fungi.